This 228-nucleotide ribosomal RNA is filed under the name uncultured bacterium. RNAcentral's name for it is "partial 16S ribosomal RNA". It matches the Rfam family "Bacterial small subunit ribosomal RNA", at positions 103 to 334 of the family's 1533-position model. The record is from RNAcentral.
CGGGUGAGUAAUACAUCGGAACGUGUCUUCUAGUGGGGGAUAACUGCCCGAAAGGGCAGCUAAUACCGCAUGAGACCUGAGGGUGAAAGCGGGGGAUCGCAAGACCUCGCGCUGGAAGAGCGGCCGAUGUCCGAUUAGCUAGUUGGUGAGGUAAGGGCUCACCAAGGCGACGAUCGGUAGCUGGUCUGAGAGGACGACCAGCCACACUGGGACUGAGACACGGCCCAG